RNAcentral lists this transfer RNA (73 nucleotides) under Ictidomys tridecemlineatus (thirteen-lined ground squirrel). RNAcentral describes it as "Spermophilus tridecemlineatus (thirteen-lined ground squirrel) tRNA". It matches the Rfam family "tRNA". Rfam says of the family: Transfer RNA (tRNA) molecules are approximately 80 nucleotides in length. Lineage: Eukaryota; Metazoa; Chordata; Mammalia; Rodentia; Sciuridae. The record is from Rfam by way of RNAcentral.
GGGGAUAUAGCACAGUUGGUAGAGUGCUUGCCUUGCAUGCACAAGGCCCUGGGUUCAAUCCCCAGCACCACCA